This 810-nucleotide ribosomal RNA is filed under the name uncultured Gammaproteobacteria bacterium. Its description in RNAcentral is "bacterial SSU rRNA". The stretch from base 1 to 619 matches the Rfam family "Bacterial small subunit ribosomal RNA". Lineage: Bacteria; Pseudomonadati; Pseudomonadota; Gammaproteobacteria. The record is from RNAcentral.
CGCUGACGAGUGGCGGACGGGUGAGUAACGCGUAGGAAUCUGCCUGGCAGCGGGGGACAACCCCGGGAAACCGGGGCUAAUACCGCAUAUCCCCCACGGGGGAAAGACCGGGACCUUUUCGGAGGCCGGUCGCUGCCGGAUGAGCCUGCGUUGGAUUAGUUUGUUGGUGGGGUAAAGGCCUACCAAGGCGAUGAUCCAUAGCUGGUCUGAGAGGGUGAUCAGCCACACUGGGACUGAGACACGGCCAGACUCCUACGGGAGGCAGCAGUGGGGAAUAUUGGACAAUGGGCGCAAGCCUGAUCCAGCAAUGCCGCGUGUGUGAAGAAGGCCUUCGGGUUGUAAAGCACUUUCAAUCGGGAAGAAAAGCGUGCGGUUAACAGCGGCGCGUCUUGACGGUACCGAUACAAGAAGCACCGGUAACUCCGUGCCAGAGCCGCGGGUAAUACGGAGGGUGGCNAAGCGUUAAUCGGAAUUACUGGGCGUAAAGCGCACCGCAGGCGGUUGGGUUAAAGUCCGAUGUGGAAAGCCCGGGCUCAACCUGGGAACUGGCUUUGAUACUGGGCGCUAAAAAAGGAAAAAACGAAUCCCGAUGUACGCAAUGCNUAAGAUCACGACCUCAGAAGGGUUCUGGCCAACUGCCGAACGGGGGAGCACAGGGAUCGAUACCCCGGGAAGUCCAGGGGNAUUCCAGCACAUGGGGGCGACAAGGGACCAGUCGACCAGAGGGUAGUUGGUUUAAUANGGCCCACGAGGGACUCGGAGUGUCCGGGAAUGACCCCACACCAUAAGGAUCAGGGAGGGACUGAGACC